This 1009-nucleotide ribosomal RNA is filed under the name Lactiplantibacillus plantarum. RNAcentral describes it as "bacterial SSU rRNA". It matches the Rfam family "Bacterial small subunit ribosomal RNA", at positions 66 to 1041 of the family's 1533-position model. The record is from RNAcentral. Lineage: Bacteria; Bacillati; Bacillota; Bacilli; Lactobacillales; Lactobacillaceae.
ACUCUGGUAUUGAUUGGUGCUUGCAUCAUGAUUUACAUUUGAGUGAGUGGCGAACUGGUGAGUAACACGUGGGAAACCUGCCCAGAAGCGGGGGAUAACACCUGGAAACAGAUGCUAAUACCGCAUAACAACUUGGACCGCAUGGUCCGAGUUUGAAAGAUGGCUUCGGCUAUCACUUUUGGAUGGUCCCGCGGCGUAUUAGCUAGAUGGUGGGGUAACGGCUCACCAUGGCAAUGAUACGUAGCCGACCUGAGAGGGUAAUCGGCCACAUUGGGACUGAGACACGGCCCAAACUCCUACGGGAGGCAGCAGUAGGGAAUCUUCCACAAUGGACGAAAGUCUGAUGGAGCAACGCCGCGUGAGUGAAGAAGGGUUUCGGCUCGUAAAACUCUGUUGUUAAAGAAGAACAUAUCUGAGAGUAACUGUUCAGGUAUUGACGGUAUUUAACCAGAAAGCCACGGCUAACUACGUGCCAGCAGCCGCGGUAAUACGUAGGUGGCAAGCGUUGUCCGGAUUUAUUGGGCGUAAAGCGAGCGCAGGCGGUUUUUUAAGUCUGAUGUGAAAGCCUUCGGCUCAACCGAAGAAGUGCAUCGGAAACUGGGAAACUUGAGUGCAGAAGAGGACAGUGGAACUCCAUGUGUAGCGGUGAAAUGCGUAGAUAUAUGGAAGAACACCAGUGGCGAAGGCGGCUGUCUGGUCUGUAACUGACGCUGAGGCUCGAAAGUAUGGGUAGCAAACAGGAUUAGAUACCCUGGUAGUCCAUACCGUAAACGAUGAAUGCUAAGUGUUGGAAGGGUUUCCGCCCUUCAGUGCUGCAGCUAACGCAUUAAGCAUUCCGCCUGGGGGAGUACGGCCGCAAGGCUGAAACUCAAAGGAAUUGACGGGGGCCCGCACAAGCGGUGGAGCAUGUGGUUUAAUUCGAAGCUACGCGAAGAACCUUACCAGGUCUUGACAUACUAUGCAAAUCUAAGAGAUUAGACGUUCCCUUCGGGGACAUGGAUACAGGUGG